Non-coding RNA from Pangasianodon gigas (Mekong giant catfish), 72 nucleotides. The record is from the annotation of a GenBank genome assembly. Lineage: Eukaryota; Metazoa; Chordata; Actinopteri; Siluriformes; Pangasiidae.
UCCCUGGUGGACUAGUGGCUAGCAUGCGGCGGUCUCAUUGCCGUAGUCCAAGUUCAAUUCCCGGUCAGGGAA